Non-coding RNA from Pseudomonas putida W619, 96 nucleotides. The record is from Rfam. NCBI's taxonomy places the organism in Bacteria, Pseudomonadati, Pseudomonadota, Gammaproteobacteria, Pseudomonadales, Pseudomonadaceae.
UUUUAUGGUGGCUGUGCGUGUGGGCACGCUUGCGUGCGCCGGAGCUUUUCGUGAUUUUACCGCCGGUCUGUCAACCCACGUACAGCUGCCACCCCA